CCUACGGGUGGCAGCAGUGAGGAAUAUUGGUCAAUGGGCGUAAGCCUGAACCAGCAAAGUCGCGUGAGGGAUGAAGGUUCUAUGGAUCGUAAACCUCUUUUAUAAGGGAAUAAAGUGUGGGACGUGUCCUAUUUUGUAUGUACCUUAUGAAUAAGGAUCGGCUAACUCCGUGCCAGCAGCCGCGGUAAUACGGAGGAUCCGAGCGUUAUCCGGAGUUAUUGGGUUUAAAGGGUGCGUAGGCGGCCUUUUAAGUCAGCGGUGAAAGUCUGUGGCUCAACCAUAGAAUUGCCGUUGAAACUGGGGGGCUUGAGUAUGUUAGAGGCAGGCGGAAUGCUUGGUGUAGCGGUGAAAUGCUUAGAUAUCACGCAGAACCCCAAUUGCGAAGGCAGCCUGCCAAGCCAUGACUGACGCUGAGGCACGAAAGCGUGGGGAUCAAACAGGAUUAGAUACCCUUGUAGUC
Molecule: ribosomal RNA, 460 nt
Filed under: uncultured bacterium
Lineage: Bacteria
Description: partial 16S ribosomal RNA
Rfam family: Bacterial small subunit ribosomal RNA
Source: RNAcentral